Molecule: ribosomal RNA, 1225 nt
Filed under: Nematoda environmental sample
Lineage: Eukaryota; Metazoa; Nematoda
Description: SSU rRNA
Rfam family: Eukaryotic small subunit ribosomal RNA
Source: RNAcentral
CCUACUUGGAUAACUGUGGUAAUUCUAGAGCUAAUACAUGCACCAAAGCUCUGACCUUGCGGGAAGAGUGCAUUUAUUAGAACAAAACCAAGCGGCUUCGGUCGUUUUUUGUUGACUCAGAAUAACUAAGCUGAUCGCAUGGUCUUGUACCGGCGACGUGUCUUUCAAGUAUCUGCCUUAUCAACUUUCGAUGGUAGUGUAUCUGACUACCAUGGUUGUGACGGGUAACGGAGGAUAAGGGUUCGACUCCGGAGAAGGGGCCUGAGAAAUGGCCACUACGUCUAAGGAUGGCAGCAGGCGCGCAAAUUACCCACUCUCAGAACGAGGAGGUAGUGACGAAAAAUAACGAGGCCGUUCUCUAUGAGGCCGGUCAUCGGAAUGGGUACAAUCUAAACCCUUUAACGAGUAUCUAUGAGAGGGCAAGUCUGGUGCCAGCAGCCGCGGUAAUUCCAGCUCUCAAAAUGCAUAGAAUUAUUGCUGCGGUUAAAAAGCUCGUAGUUGGAUCUGUGCCAGGAGAGCGGUCCACUUUCGGGUGGUACUGCUACGACUGGCUUUUUGCUGGUUUUCUCGUCGUAGUCUUAACCGAUUGCGGCGGGUGGCUGGCGAUUUUACUUUGAACAAAUCAGAGUGCUUAACACAGGCGUUUCGCUUGAAUGUUCUUGCAUGGAAUAAUAGAAAAGGAUUUCGGUUCUAUUUUAUUGGUUUUAUAGACUGAGAUAAUGGUUAACAGAGACAAACGGGGGCAUUCGUAUUGCUGCGUGAGAGGUGAAAUUCUUGGACCGCAGCAAGACGAACUACAGCGAAAGCAUUUGCCAAGAAUGUCUUCAUUAAUCAAGAACGAAAGUCAGAGGUUCGAAGGCGAUCAGAUACCGCCCUAGUUCUGACCGUAAACGAUGCCAACUAGCGAUCCGCCGGUGGAUAUUUUGCCCUGGUGGGGAGCUUCCCGGAAACGAAAGUCUUCCGGUUCCGGGGGAAGUAUGGUUGCAAAGCUGAAACUUAAAGGAAUUGACGGAAGGGCACCACCAGGAGUGGAGCCUGCGGCUUAAUUUGACUCAACACGGGAAAACUCACCCGGCCCGGACACCGUAAGGAUUGACAGAUUGAUAGCUUUUUCAUGAUUCGGUGGAUGGUGGUGCAUGGCCGUUCUUAGUUCGUGGAGCGAUUUGUCUGGUUUAUUCCGAUAACGAGCGAGACUCUAGCCUACUAAAUAGUUCGCACAUUGCUU